UGCCAGACUCCUACGGGAGGCAGCAGUGGGGAAUAUUGGACAAUGGGGGGAACCCUGAUCCAGCGACGCCGCGUGAGUGAAGAAGUAUUUCGGUAUGUAAAGCUCUAUCAGCAGGGAAGAAAGAAAUGACGGUACCUGACUAAGAAGCCCCGGCUAACUACGUGCCAACAGCCGCGGUAAUACGUAGGGGGCGAGCGUUAUCCGGAUUCACUGGGUGUAAAGGGAGCGUAGACGGCCAUGCAAGCCAGGGGUGAAAGCCCGGGGCCCAACCCCGGGACUGCCCUUGGAACUGCAUGGCUGGAGUGCGGGAGGGGCAGGCGGAAUUCCUGGUGUAGCGGUGAAAUGCGUAGAUAUCAGGAGGAACACCGGCGGCGAAGGCGGCCUGCUGGACCGUGACUGACGUUGAGGCUCGUGAGCGUGGGGAGCAAACAGGAUUAGAUACCCUCGUAC
RNAcentral lists this ribosomal RNA (450 nucleotides) under uncultured bacterium. RNAcentral's name for it is "bacterial SSU rRNA". It matches the Rfam family "Bacterial small subunit ribosomal RNA", at positions 329 to 793 of the family's 1533-position model. The record is from RNAcentral.